ACCGUGCGAAGGUAGCGUAAUCACUUGUUCUUUAAAUGUGGACUAGUAUGAAUGGCACCACGAAGGUUAUACUGUCUCCUUUUUCUAAUCAGUGAAACUAAUCUCCCCGUGAAGAAGCGGGGAUAAAGCUAUAAGACGAGAAGACCCUAUGGAGCUUUAAACAACAUAGCACUCCACACACCAUUAAUUCCAGAAUCUUCAACAAUAUGACUAUAAGUUUUUGGUUGGGGUGACCGCGGAGCAUAACACAACCUCCAUGUUGAAAGAAUUAUUUUCUAAGCUAAGAACUACAACUCUAAGCAUCAACAUAUUGACAUCCAUUGACCCAAACACUUGAACAACGAACCAAGUUACCCUAGGGAUAACAGCGCAAUCCACUUCAAGAGCUCCUAUCGACAAGUGGGUUUACGACCUCGAUGUUGGAUCAGGGUUUCCCAGUGGUGCAGCCGCUACUAAAGGUUCGUUUGUUCAACGAUUAAAACCCUACGUG
This 490-nucleotide ribosomal RNA is filed under the name Bufotes viridis (European green toad). RNAcentral describes it as "partial 16S ribosomal RNA". It matches the Rfam family "Bacterial large subunit ribosomal RNA", at positions 1945 to 2602 of the family's 2925-position model. The record is from RNAcentral. Lineage: Eukaryota; Metazoa; Chordata; Amphibia; Anura; Bufonidae.